RNAcentral lists this unclassified non-coding RNA (349 nucleotides) under soil metagenome. RNAcentral's name for it is "partial contains 5.8S ribosomal RNA, internal transcribed spacer 2, and large subunit ribosomal RNA". The stretch from base 1 to 120 matches the Rfam family "5.8S ribosomal RNA", at positions 35 to 154 of the family's 154-position model. The record is from RNAcentral.
GAUGAAGAACGCAGCGAAAUGCGAUAAGUAAUGUGAAUUGCAGAAUUCAGUGAAUCAUCGAAUCUUUGAACGCACAUUGCGCCCGCCAGUAUUCUGGCGGGCAUGCCUGUCCGAGCGUCAUUUCAACCCUCGAACCCCUCCGGGGGGUCGGCGUUGGGGAUCGGCCCUUUACGGGGCCGGCCCCGAAAUACAGUGGCGGUCUCGCCGCAGCCUCUCCUGCGCAGUAGUUUGCACACUCGCAUCGGGAGCGCGGCGCGUCCAAUGCCGUAAAACACCCAACUUUCUGAAAUGUUGACCUCGGAUCAGGUAGGAGUACCCGCUGAACUUAAGCAUAUCAAUAAGCGGAGGA